GAGUUUGAUCAUGGCUCAGGAUGAACGCUGGCUACAGGCUUAACACAUGCAAGUCGAGGGGAAACGACGGGGAAGCUUGCUUCCCCGGGCGUCGACCGGCGCACGGGUGAGUAACGCGUAUCCAACCUGCCUCUGACUGAGGGAUAACCCGUCGAAAGUCGGCCUAAUACCUCAUGGCAUCGUCUGCGGGCAUCCAACGACGAUUAAAGAUUUCAUCGGUCAGGGAUGGGGAUGCGUCUGAUUAGUUAGUUGGCGGGGUAACGGCCCACCAAGGCUACGAUCAGUAGGGGUUCUGAGAGGAAGGUCCCCCACAUUGGAACUGAGACACGGUCCAAACUCCUACGGGAGGCAGCAGUGAGGAAUAUUGGUCAAUGGGCGGGAGCCUGAACCAGCCAAGUAGCGUGCAGGAUGACGGCCCUAUGGGUUGUAAACUGCUUUUAUGCGGGGAUAAAGUGAGGGACGUGUCCUUCAUUGCAGGUACCGCAUGAAUAAGGACCGGCUAAUUCCGUGCCAGCAGCCGCGGUAAUACGGAAGGUCCGGGCGUUAUCCGGAUUUAUUGGGUUUAAAGGGAGCGUAGGCCGUGGAUUAAGCGUGUUGUGAAAUGCAGGUGCUCAACGUCUGCACUGCAGCGCGAACUGGUUCACUUGAGUGUGCGCAACGCAGGCGGAAUUCGUCGUGUAGCGGUGAAAUGCUUAGAUAUGACGAAGAACUCCGAUUGCGAAGGCAGCUUGCGGGAGCACAACUGACGCUGAAGCUCGAAAGUGCGGGUAUCGAACAGGAUUAGAUACCCUGGUAGUCCGCACGGUAAACGAUGGAUGCCCGUUGUCAGGCUGUUUCAGCCUGGUGACCAAGCGAAAGCAUUAAGCAUCCCACCUGGGGAGUACGCCGGCAACGGUGAAACUCAAAGGAAUUGACGGGGGCCCGCACAAGCGGAGGAACAUGUGGUUUAAUUCGAUGAUACGCGAGGAACCUUACCCGGGCUUGAAUUGCAGACGAAGGCUUCAGAGAUGAAGAGUCCCUUCGGGGCGUCUGUGAAGGUGCUGCAUGGUUGUCGUCAGCUCGUGCCGUGAGGUGUCGGCUUAAGUGCCAUAACGAGCGCAAACCCCUUUCUUCAGUUGCCAUCAGGUGAUGCUGGGCACUCUGUAGACACUGCCACCGCAAGGUGUGAGGAAGGUGGGGAUGACGUCAAAAUCAGCACGGCCCUUACGUCCGGGGCUACACACGUGUUACGAAUGGCCGGUACAGAGAGUUGAUUUUGUGCAAACACGAAUCUAAUCCUUAAAUCCGGUCCCGGUUUCGGACUGGGGUCUGCGAACCCGACCCCGCGAAAGCUGGAUUCGCUAGUAAUCGCGCAUUCGAGCCAUGGCGCGGUGAAAUACGUUUCCCGGGCCUUGCACACACCGCCCGUCAAA
RNAcentral lists this ribosomal RNA (1412 nucleotides) under uncultured bacterium. Its description in RNAcentral is "16S ribosomal RNA". It matches the Rfam family "Bacterial small subunit ribosomal RNA". The record is from RNAcentral.